GCUGGGCCCGGAGGCGCAGGCCUGUGAUCCCCGCGACUCGGAGGCUGAGGCAGGAGGACCCCAAGUUUGAGGCCAGCCUCAGCAGCUGAGUGAGGCCCUGUCUCAA
This 106-nucleotide small RNA is filed under the name Marmota monax (woodchuck). The record is from RNAcentral. Lineage: Eukaryota; Metazoa; Chordata; Mammalia; Rodentia; Sciuridae.